Antechinus flavipes (yellow-footed antechinus) is the source of this 7225-nucleotide long non-coding RNA. RefSeq lists it as uncharacterized. Lineage: Eukaryota; Metazoa; Chordata; Mammalia; Dasyuromorphia; Dasyuridae. The transcript is spliced from 2 exons. The record is from RefSeq and is a predicted model, not a curated record.
GUCCACUUAACAUUUCCAGGAUGGAUCUGCCCCACCCCUCUCCUCCGAGUCGAGUCAGAGCCCUUUUGGCCGCUGCCAUGGAAGCCUCUGCACAAUCCUAAAGUGCAGAGUUCCUGGAUCCAGAACAGUAAGAAGGGACCAAUCAGAUAGCAGAGAAAACUUAGCAGAGCAGACCCAUCCCCAAUAUUUUUCUCCUCCAUCACCAGAGAUCUUCAUUUUGUUUUACAGCUUAUUUUUGUUGUUAUUCAUUUGUUCUAUCCUACCAGUUUUUAAGUCAAUUGAGCUCUCUGAGGGGAAAAAGCCCUCAAACAACAACCAAUUACAUCUGGGAUGGUUAAAAGGCUAAUUCUGGAUUUUGUUCCCAUAUUAGAGUGAAUUAAUUCAAUUAGAUAGCUUUCCACUUUGCACCUGGCAGAGAACACUUAACAUGGAAGGAAUGAAUAUUUUGAUUGAGCUGAAGGGGAUAGUAGUAAUUUAAGAAAAGAAUGCUCUGGGGCAUGACAGGGCCAGGUGGGUAGUUGAGGACUGAUUACAUUUAUUCCUUCAAUAUUUAUUCAAAUAAGAUGAAGUGGUUACUAUGUGCAGCAUACUGUGAGAAGUUGAUUAUGGCAAAAGCUGUAAUCCCAGAUUGGUUUACAGUUUAGUAAGGGAAAUUAAACAUAUGUGAAACUAGACAACAAAGAAGGAUAUAUUGUCUUCUUUAAGAGAUAUAGUCUGUUGUGGGUGCUCAGAAAAGAGAGAGAGAGAGAGAUUACUUCCAGAUAGAUUAGGGAAUCAGUAGAGCUCUGGGGACCUGAUAUGAACCUUGAACUCCAGCUAAUCUACUAGGGUUGACAAUCUGGUAAAUUGGAAUGUCCAAGAUCUUGUCCUUAGUUACUCAGGACUUCCAGAGGCACUAAGUCAGCUAUCUGUGACAUUGCUCAGUCUGUAUGUGCAGACCAAAGAAUAAACAGGGAAAUCGCUCAGAUUCUUUCCAUCUUUAUAGCACCCCUGGUCUCCAGAGUAAAAAAAAGCAUAUGCAAAAGAAUGCCAAACGAGUAAUAAUCAUUUUCAACAUUAGACUUCACUCAGAAAACGGGUGGGUAAAUUUUUCUUCUUUUUUCUUUCUCUUUGGUGCACUAGAUAUCUUGCUGUUGCUAGGAUCACUGGUUAGUACACUUGGGAUAUAGUUCAGCAUCAUGGUCUAAACAGACUUGGAACCGCAACAUAAUUCAAAACAAUAUUCUUAUGGGGGAAAGGGUUCCAAGUUUUGGACAAUGAAUUUACAAGGUUUUUUUUUUUUUUUUUUUUUUUUUUGGGGGGGGGGAGGGAUGUGGAGGGAGAAGUAUUUUGUAAAUUGGGUAUUAUUGAAUAGCAUUCCAGGAAAUCUCAUCUGAGAGAAACAAAUACUGAAUCUCUAACACUUAAUAAUAAUAGUUGCUUAUACUAAAUUAUUAUUUUACAUAUUACAGAUAUAGCAUAUAUAUAAUAUAUUACAUUAUAUUAAAACUAUUUGGCUAUUGCACCCUGCAACCCCACCUUUCCCUCCCCCACUAAGUUGUAAUUCAAAAUCCAAACCUGUUCUUUGAGCCCUAUUUAAUUAGAAAAACUAGUAUAACCAAAAGUUGCAUGGGAGCACACAUGGAACAGCCACAUAUGACUCAGUGCUUGUGCUCUCUGGAGAUGAUGAGCCUCAGGCUUGUUCUAGCCUUGUCUGACUUAGCCUUGAAGGGUUUGCACAUGCAGAUGACAAAGCAACUGUCUUAUCUGCUGUUGAGCAAGAGACUGAUGAGUCACUGAACCUUUAUAAAGGGAGGAUCUCUGGCUCUGGCUGUUUUUUCUUCUCUCUGCUGAGGAUCACUUGGGACCGUUUAUGGUUAUGGGAAAGGUAGCUUGCCUCUUCCGUCUGCCAUUAACGUGGCAGAUAGAGGCAUUGUGCUCCUAAGUGAGCCUGGUCCUGAUUUGGGGGCUGCAUCUUCUCAGUUUCUUCUUGCCUGAUCUUGGGUUAAUGGGUAGUGACCUCAUGAUGGAGGCAUCCAAGCUUGGGGGCUAUUUUGUGAGUCUGAAAUUUUGAAGAAGCUAACUCCUUAGGGGGUAUCAGCUCUACUUUGUAAAGAAUAUUGGACAAUUGUUUGAGCUCUUUUGAAAGAAGGUGACCACCAGGCAAGAGAACAAACCCAAUGUUUGGCAUCGUUUCCCAGGAGAUGUCUGCUAUAAUGGGACUAUAGUGCAGAACUGAGAUGAUACAUAGAAGUGCUAUUUUACCAAGUGCUUUAUGAUGCAGUGUUUAUGGUUCAACCUCCUGAGAGAUGGUAAUCAUGCUUGUAAUAUGUUAUUGGUUACUUAAGUUUUGUCAAUGCAUUCUUCGAAUCUCUUAUGUCUUUUUAAAACAAUUUUCUUGUGUGUAGGAAAUACCCAUUCUAUACCCAAUUCAGUGUACAUCUUGAGAAUUGUACAAUAUUGAACAUUGAGCAUCUUGGGCAAGUCACAACUUCUGAAUAGAUUUCUUCAAUUGGAUUAAAUACAAAGACUUCAUUCCAGAAGAAAAGUUGGUCUGAGAAAGAGCAGUCCUCACUUGGAAGUAUCUAAUGGUGAAAAGAGUAAAUGGAUUAGAGCUGUCCCUGAAAUUCAAGAUUCUGAGCUUAAAAUCAUAUGUCUUGUGAUACCUUUAUGAAAGUCUGUGUCCUGAAGACUUUUUCAUACAUUUACACAACUUAUAAUAGUUAAUUUCUUUAAAACAUUUUAAUUGAUACUUUUAUGUUUUCAUUACAUUUCUCAUUUCCUGAUACAUUACCCCCCCCAUUAUCAACCCAUUUCUCUCUUUUUUAUAAGAAAAACACACAACUACUAAUUUCAUGUGAAAAUAAUUGUAUGCUUAAAUGAAUUUUUGCUUUCAGAGCUUAACACAUCUUAGUCAAAAAAAGAAAAAUAUGAAAAAUAAUUCUUAGCCAGCAAGACCAAUGACAAUCACACCAUCAUCUCCAUUCAUUAAUAUUUGAAUAUGUAAUAGAAGCAUAAAACUAAAGGUUAUUUUUGAACCAUAGCUAACACACUAUUCUGAAGGAUAGAACAAGUACAAUUAAAGGAGAUGAAACUUAAGCUAUAGAAGGAGAAAUUUAAAAAGCAGAUGGCUGACCUCAGUAGACAUAAGUCACAAGAUCAAGACUGACCACAUUACAGGGUCCUAAAAGAACUGGAGAUUUGAAUAACAAGAACCAUAUCAUCAAUGAGCCAUCUCUGAUAAACGGAGGACAAGAAAGGUGAACUUAAAACAGGAAAAUGUUCUCCUGACUCCUGACAAAGGAAAAUGGGUAGAUUGUUCAGGCUGAGCUUCUGAGUUUGACUUUGAUUACUGACGAAGUCCUGAAAUUUCAGCUUAAUCAGUGCUUGGUGUUUGAGCCAAUUUUAUGAGUAUUUAGAAAGGAAAGUAACCAUCCUUUUGAGCCAGAUUGUAUUCAGGUAAUUCAAGUUAUGUCAUAAUAACAUUAUUUUAUUUUUGUUGGUUAGUUGGUUGGUUGAUUGUUGUCCUUUAAUCUUGAAGAGGAUCAAAAUGAUAUCGCUAUGUUAGAGUCAAAUUACAGUGGGUCUGACUAGCUGAUUAGAUCAUUAUGAACUCAGAAUGUUCUGCCACAGGUCAGACACAAAUAAUCCAUAUGAACACUUGGAGGAGCUUCUAAUUUUGUGCAUCAUGUUUCCUUUGGUUUAAUUCAAUUCUGCUUUGCUCAUAGAGCCCAGAACCUUCUCUGAUGAGGGCUCACCAUGCUGGGCAGCUCUGUGUCAGUGUCUCCCGUGUCACACCCCAGUUCUAAAGUUGUUAAGAGAGACCUUGAGAGUGUCCUUGUAUUGCUUUUUUUCUGACCAUCUUGUCAGUGCUUGCCCUGUGCGAUUUCUCCAUAAAAUAAUUUUUGGCAAGCGUACAUUUGGCAUUUGAACAAUGUGGCCAGCCCAACAAAGUUGUGCUCUUUGCUGUAGAGUUGAAAUGCUUGGAAGUUUAGUACGAGAAAGGACCUCCGUGUCUGGUAUUUUAUUCUGCCAGGUGAUCUUAAGAAUCUUCCUAAGACAAUUCAAAUAGUUUGUAGACUAGUAGGUCAGGGAAAUGAUAUUGGCAUCUUUUUUAGUUUUUUCCUAGACAACUGGGGUUAAGUGACUUGCCCCCACAUAACUAGAAAGUAUCAAAUGUCUAAGCUGGAUUUGAACUUGGUUCCUUCUGAUUUCAGAGCUGGCACUUUAUCCACUGUACCACCUAUCUGCCCUUUCCCCUUUUGUAUGGGGGGAAGAGUAUACUGGCAUCUUUAAUGAGAACAUCUCUAAUGAUAUCCUUAGGGACAAGAUAGAAAGAUAUAGGUUGGAUAGGUGGGUUUGGAGCUGAGUAAAUGACUAGAGCCAAAGAGGAAUAUUUGAUGGAAUAACAAAAAACUUAAAAAACUCUAGGGAGGCAUCGGAUGUACUGUGUCCUUGCAAUAUAUACUUCAAUGUUAUCAGUGACUUAGAAGAUAGCAUAAAAGUCAUAUUUACCAGAUUUACAGAUAGCAUAUAGCUGUGGAGGGUAGCUAAUUUGUCAGACAACAGAAUCAAUAUCCACAGAUAUCUAAAUGGGAAAAACAAAGUCAUAGAAGGAUCAUAGAAAUUGGAACAGAAAAAGGCAUUGGAGAAAAGCAUUUUAAAAAACCAAUAUUGGGUAAUAUACCAUGGGUAGCAUACAAUAGUGAUAGACAUAGCUAGAUAUUAUUUUACAUUAAAAAAAGAUCUCUAGUUUCUAGAGAAUAAGUGCCAUAGGAGUCAGCAGUGUGAUUUGCCAACCAAAAAAAGCUAAUACUUUCUUAAACUGUAUUGACAGUUAUAUCCUUUGUAAUGAUGGGGUGAGAAUCCUGUUGCACUUUUCUUUAGAACAUUGUGUUCACUUCUAUUGUCACAUUUUAGGAAGGACAUGGACAAACCAAAGCUUUGAGGACAGAGACCAAAUGGGUGUUGCAAUUGGAGUCUGUGCUACAUGUUCAGGUUGUGGUUAUUCUGCAUCUAUUCAAUAGCCCAGCAGAUGCCCAAGGGUUCAAAUAGUCUUUUUACUAAAAACAUAUUGUGAAACUUCCAGGUAGAAACCAUUCCCAAGGUGGUUGAACAGAGAUAAAAGUGGAUCAAAGCCAACUUCGAGAAAGUUAAAAGCAGUCUUCGGAGAUUCCUAGCAGUCUCAAGAACUUUCUCCCAAAGUCCUAAAAACUAUUUUUACGCUCUUCUUGCCCUAAGAGUCUAGAGCUGGAUCCCACAUUAAUUCAUUCAAGGACAAAAUUAACCCGAACUGUUCUGGGUCCAUAGCAUCCUUUCUUUCUUCACUUGUCUUUUUACCCACAUGUUGUAGCAAAGUUGAAAGAGUCCCAUUAAAAAACCAAAAAUGAUAUCUGCAUAGGUAUGUUCCGCUUGCUGGCUAUGACUCCUAUUGCUUGUAGCCUGCACAUGGUUGGCCAAGGCCUACUUAGGACUGCUUCUAGCCCACGUGCUCCUCAUUCCUGGGGCCCAUGUGGCCCAAACAUUCCCACAGCUGCUUCUGGGUCCAGGCUCACACUGUUGUCUCCUGGCUGGGUAAGGCUUACAAACUCAGCUACCACUGUGUUCCACUAUAAGAGCUGUUGUCUGCAAGCUGGGCAUCACUACCAAGGUCACUGUCUCCCUGCUGGCAGUGCUAUUGUUUCCAGGGCACCACUGUUUUUCCCAUUAUUCUGGUGUUUCUGGCACUGCCAUUGCUGAGAGAGGUAUUAUUUUACAGGUCAGGGCACCACUGCUUUCCCCAUUAUCUUAUUUCUGCUGGUGCUAUCCAAAUGUCAUUUCACUCAUGACUACCUGGGCGGUUUUCUGAGGACCCAGGGACCACCCAGGACUAUUUUCAAAGCAAAGAUUUAAGACUCCCAAAUUCUAGUCCUGUUCCUGCAACUAAUUAGACACUUCAUCUUGGUUAUGUCAUUAAUAACACCAUAACCAUUGAAUAACACCAUUGAAUAACUUUCAAUGCACCAGAUCCCUCUCCUAUUAUCAGUUAUUUGGGUGAAGUUGAACAGAUGGUAUAAAGAUCACUCAACUCAGAGCCUGAAGCUUCAAACAAGGUCCUUUUACUAAAAACAUCUUCCAAUACCCUUAGGUGGCAUGGGGAAAAAAAAAAAAUUCAAGGAAAUCAAGAAAUAAAAGACAACUGCAAGAAGGUUAAAAGCAGCAAGAAAGGCGGUUCCUUGGGAUUUCAAGAAAUCUCCACUAAAGUUCUAAGAACUACCUUAUGCUCUGUCCAAAUUGCCAACAAGUGGAUCCCGAUUGAGCUGUUGGAGAGCGAAGUUAGCCCAAACUGCUCCAGGUCUGCACUACAACAACAUUCUCAACUAAAGAUAUGGGAGUAUGUUCAUAUGUGGGGUCUUAACUUAUAUUUCUCCAGUUCCCCCAAUAUACUGGCCCAUAAUACCACAUGAGGACUCAUUAAAAGUCUUGGGAAUAUUUAUCCUGGAGAAGUGAAGAUUUAGGAAAGAAAUGAUAGCUACUAUCAAAUACUUGAAGACAUGAGGAAGAAGGAUUAGAUUUGCUUUGCAAAUAAGCCCCAGAGGAUAAAAUGAGUUAGAAAUAAUAAAAAGAUAGAUUUUAGUUUGAUAUAAAGAAGAACUUCUUAAUCAAAGUUGCUCCAAGCUGGACUAGGACUAGGUAACGAGGUAGGUAACUAGGUAGCAAAUUCAUCAAUAGAAAUAUUCAACUAGAGAUUGGUAAGAUUUUGGCAAGUGUACUUCUGUUCACAUAUGGACUGGGCUGGGUGACCUCAGAGAUCCCUUUCUAUUGUCACAUUCUAUGUGAUGAAUAUACAUUAUACAUAAUGCAUACAAAAAUUAUAUAUAAUAUUAUAUGCAUCUCUAAUACUUAUUAUCUAUUAUAGAUGUAUGUUUUAUACAUAUAUAUAGCAAAUCCAGAAAGCCUAGACUGGUUACUCUAUAACAUGACAAUAUGACACAUUGGGAAAAUGUUGAACUAUGAGUUAGGACUCCCAGAUUCUGGUCCUGUUCCUGCAACUAGCUAGAUGCUUUACCUUGGUUAUGUCAUUAAAUCUCUCUCUGCCUCAGUUUACUCAUCUGUCAAGCAAGAAUUUAAAGAUAAAAUGAAUUUAAGUUUGAUGUAUGAGUAACAUAGGAUUUAAGUAGAACCAUAAAAGGUAGGGUCAUUAUUUAUUUUGUUUUUGUAUACUGGCUCCAAUCAUGGUGAUUAAAUAAAUGAAUGCUUGACUAGA